CCUACGGGUGGCUGCAGUGGGGAAUAUUGCACAAUGGGCGCAAGCCUGAUGCAGCCAUGCCGCGUGUGUGAAGAAGGCCUUCGGGUUGUAAAGCACUUUCAGCGGGGAGGAAGGCGGUUAGGUUAAUAACCUCAUCGAUUGACGUUACCCGCAGAAGAAGCACCGGCUAACUCCGUGCCAGCAGCCGCGGUAAUACGGAGGAUGCAAGCGUUAAUCGGAAUUACUGGGCGUAAAGCGCACGCAGGCGGUCUGUCAAGUCGGAUGUGAAAUCCCCGGGCUCAACCUGGGAACUGCAUUCGAAACUGGCAGGCUAGAGUCUUGUAGAGGGGGGUAGAAUUCCAGGUGUAGCGGUGAAAUGCGUAGAGAUCGGGAGGAAUACCGGUGGCGAAGGCGGCCCCCUGGACAAAGACUGACGCUCAGGUGCGAAAGCGUGGGGAGCAAACAGGAUUAGAUACCCGAGUAGUC
RNAcentral lists this ribosomal RNA (465 nucleotides) under uncultured Klebsiella sp. RNAcentral describes it as "bacterial SSU rRNA". It matches the Rfam family "Bacterial small subunit ribosomal RNA", at positions 338 to 795 of the family's 1533-position model. Lineage: Bacteria; Pseudomonadati; Pseudomonadota; Gammaproteobacteria; Enterobacterales; Enterobacteriaceae. The record is from RNAcentral.